Molecule: long non-coding RNA, 484 nt
Organism: Canis lupus familiaris (dog)
Lineage: Eukaryota; Metazoa; Chordata; Mammalia; Carnivora; Canidae
Exons: 3
Source: RefSeq, a predicted model, not a curated record
UUAUGGAGGUAGGUGGGCAAGGAAGUGAGCUGUGGCUGUGGCUGCCUCCACAUUAAGCAACAUCCUUCUUUUGUUACAUGAAGCCCAAAGGGAAUGCUGGGAAAGCAGGGGGUGGGGGGACAACGGGACACAAAAGCCCAAAGUUGAAGGAAUCUAGUUUGUAGAAGAGAAGACUGAGGAUAGAAGCUGUUCUAAUCUAGGAUGUUCUAAAGUAACAAACGCUGCUCUGAAUAAAUCUAUGAAGCAGGAAACAGGUAAUUUCCGUGGUCCAGUAAUCACGGUUCCCAAAAUCAGUGCCAGGAAACUGCACCAGCACAAAGGAAAGGAAAGAAGGCAACGCAUAGAACAUAAAAGACCUUCCUCAGUUUUUCUGCCUACUCCCAAACCAAUUAUUCAUCAUCCUUCCCAAUAGGAAGAAAUAAGGUGGCGCAGUGGUUUGGCCCCUGCUUUUGGCCGAGAGCGCGACCCUGGAGACCAGGAAUCG